GGGGCUAGUCUGGUGACGGUGGCGGACUGUAACUCUGCACACCGAGGGUCCAAUCCCCUCUAGCUCCA
Molecule: transfer RNA, 68 nt
Filed under: Verrucomicrobiota bacterium
Lineage: Bacteria; Pseudomonadati; Verrucomicrobiota
Description: Verrucomicrobia bacterium (drinking water metagenome) tRNA-OTHER
Source: RNAcentral